RNAcentral lists this ribosomal RNA (399 nucleotides) under uncultured bacterium. RNAcentral's name for it is "bacterial SSU rRNA". It matches the Rfam family "Bacterial small subunit ribosomal RNA", at positions 32 to 424 of the family's 1533-position model. The record is from RNAcentral.
AAUCAACGCUGGCGGCGUGCCUCAGACAUGCAAGUCGAACGAUUAAAGCUCUCUUCGGAGAGUGCAUAAAGUGGCGCACGGGUGAGUAACACGUAAGUAAUCUACCCUCGAGUGGGGAAUAACGUCCGGAAACGGACGCUAAUACCGCAUAAUGCAGCGGCAUCGCAAGAUGACAGUUGUUAAAGAUUUAUCGCUUGAAGAGGAGCUUGCGGCAGAUAGCUAGUUGGUAAGGUAAUGGCUUACCAAGGCUACGAUCUGUAACCGGUCUAAGAGGACGGUCGGUCACACUGACACUGAAUAACGGGUCAGACUCCUACGGGAGGCAGCAGUCGGGAAUUUUGGGCAAUGGGCGAAAGCCUGACCCAGCAACGCCGCGUGAAGGAUGAAGUAUUUCGGUAU